AAUGAACGCUGGCGGCAUGCCUAACACAUGCAAGUCGAACGAGACCUUCGGGUCUAGUGGCGCACGGGUGCGUAACGCGUGGGAAUCUGCCCUUGGGUUCGGAAUAACAGUGAGAAAUUACUGCUAAUACCGAAUGAUGACGUAAGUCCAAAGAUUUAUCGCCCAGGGAUGAGCCCGCGUAGGAUUAGCUAGUUGGUGAGGUAAAAGCUCACCAAGGCGACGAUCCUUAGCUGGUCUGAGAGGAUGAUCAGCCACACUGGGACUGAGACACGGCCCAGACUCCUACGGGAGGCAGCAGUGGGGAAUAUUGGACAAUGGGCGAAAGCCUGAUCCAGCAAUGCCGCGUGAGUGAUGAAGGCCUUAGGGUUGUAAAGCUCUUUUACCCGGGAUGAUAAUGACAGU
This 402-nucleotide ribosomal RNA is filed under the name bacterium Ellin5221. Its description in RNAcentral is "bacterial SSU rRNA". It matches the Rfam family "Bacterial small subunit ribosomal RNA", at positions 29 to 458 of the family's 1533-position model. The record is from RNAcentral. Lineage: Bacteria; Pseudomonadati; Pseudomonadota; Alphaproteobacteria; Sphingomonadales; Sphingomonadaceae.